AUUAGAGUUUGAUCCUGGCUCAGGAUGAACGCUAGCGGCAGGCCUAAUACAUGCAAGUCGAGGGGCAGCAUAGAGUAGCAAUACUUUGAUGGCGACCGGCGCACGGGUGCGUAACACGUAUGUAAUCUGCCCUUGUCAGGGGGAUAGCCCGGAGAAAUCCGGAUUAACACCCCAUGGUCUAUUUGGGAGGCACCUCUUGAAUAGUAAAAUUCCGAUGGACAAGGAUGAACAUGCGACUGAUUAGUUAGUUGGUGAGGUAACGGCUCACCAAGACCACGAUCAGUAGGGGUACUGAGAGGUUAAACCCCCACACUGGUACUGAGACACGGACCAGACUCCUACGGGAGGCAGCAGUAAGGAAUAUUGGACAAUGGAGGCAACUCUGAUCCAGCCAUGCCGCGUGCAGGAAGAAGGACCUAUGGUUUGUAAACUGCUUUUGUAACAGGGAAAACCCCUCUACGUGUAGAGGGUUGAUAGUAUGUUAAGAAUAAGCAUCGGCUAACUUCGUGCCAGCAGCCGCGGUAAUACGAAGGAUGCAAGCGUUAUCCGGAUUUAUUGGGUUUAAAGGGUGCGUAGGCGGCCUUGUAAGUCAGUGGUGAAAUACGGCAGCUUAACUGUCGAGGUGCCAUUGAUACUGCAGGGCUAGAGUACAGAUGCCGUUGGCGGAAUGUGUCAUGUAGCGGUGAAAUGCAUAGAUAUGACACAGAACACCGAUUGCGAAGGCAGCUGACGAAACUGUAACUGACGCUGAGGCACGAAAGCGUGGGGAUCAAACAGGAUUAGAUACCCUGGUAGUCCACGCCCUAAACUAUGAUUACUCGUUGUUGGCGAUAUACAGCCGGUAACUAAGCGAAAGCGUUAAGUAAUCCACCUGGGGAGUACGCCCGCAAGGGUGAAACUCAAAGGAAUUGACGGGGGCCCGCACAAGCGGAGGAGCAUGUGGUUUAAUUCGAUGGUACGCGAGGAACCUUACCCGGGCUUGAAAGUUAGUGACCGACUCUGAAAGGAGUUUUUCCGUAAGGACACGAAACUAGGUGCUGCAUGGCUGUCGUCAGCUCGUGCCGUGAGGUGUUGGGUUAAGUCCCGCAACGAGCGCAACCCCUACUUCCAGUUGCCAACACGUAAUGGUGGGGACUCUGGAGGAACUGCCCGCGCAAGCGGAGAGGAAGGUGGGGACGACGUCAAGUCAUCACGGCCCUUACGUCCGGGGCUACACACGUGCUACAAUGGCCACUACAGAGGGCAGCUACCUGGCAACAGGAUGCUAAUCCAUCAAAAGUGGUCUCAGUUCGGAUUGGGGUCUGCAACUCGACCCCAUGAAGCUGGAUUCGCUAGUAAUCGCGCAUCAGCAAUGGCGCGGUGAAUACGUUCCCGGGCCUUGUACACACCGCCCGUCAAGCCAUGAAAGCUGGGAGUAUCUAAAGUAGGUUGCUGUAAAGGCGCCUCCUAGGGUAAAACCGGUGAUUGGGGCUAAGUCGUAACAAGGUAGCCGUAAAU
Molecule: ribosomal RNA, 1497 nt
Filed under: uncultured Sphingobacteriales bacterium
Lineage: Bacteria; Pseudomonadati; Bacteroidota; Sphingobacteriia; Sphingobacteriales
Description: bacterial SSU rRNA
Rfam family: Bacterial small subunit ribosomal RNA
Source: RNAcentral